This 514-nucleotide ribosomal RNA is filed under the name uncultured bacterium. RNAcentral describes it as "partial 16S ribosomal RNA". It matches the Rfam family "Bacterial small subunit ribosomal RNA", at positions 355 to 861 of the family's 1533-position model. The record is from RNAcentral.
UGGGGAAUUUUGGACAAUGGGCGCAAGCCUGAUCCAGCCAUGCCGCGUGCGGGAAGAAGGCCUUCGGGUUGUAAACCGCUUUUGUCAGGGAAGAAAUCUUCUGAGUUAAUACCUCGGGAGGAUGACGGUACCUGAAGAAUAAGCACCGGCUAACUACGUGCCAGCAGCCGCGGUAAUACGUAGGGUGCAAGCGUUAAUCGGAAUUACUGGGCGUAAAGCGUGCGCAGGCGGUUUUGUAAGACAGAGGUGGAAUCCCCGGGCUCAACCUGGGAACUGCCUUUGUGACUGCAAGGCUUGAGUGCGGCAGAGGGGGGAUGGAAUUCCGCGUGUAGCAGUGAAAUGCGUAGAUAUGCGGAGGAACACCGAUGGGAAGGCAAUCCCCUGGGCCUGCACUGACGCUCAUGCACGAAAGCGUGGGGAGCAAACAGGAUUAGAUACCCUGGUAGUCCACGCCCUAAAACGAUGUCAACUGGUUGUUGGGAAGGUUCCUUCUCAGUAACGUAGCUAACGCGUG